AUCGGGUCUGGCGAUGGAACCCGCCGGGAGCUCUGCUCCGAACCGCAUACCGCUGAUAGUUCCUACCCGUCC
RNAcentral lists this non-coding RNA (72 nucleotides) under Bifidobacterium psychraerophilum. RNAcentral describes it as "Fluoride sequence". It matches the Rfam family "Fluoride riboswitch aptamer (crcB RNA motif)". The record is from Rfam by way of RNAcentral. Lineage: Bacteria; Bacillati; Actinomycetota; Actinomycetes; Bifidobacteriales; Bifidobacteriaceae.